AUGUCCUUGGUGGCAGAUCGAAGAAAACCUGAGCUGGUGCUUCCGGCACGAGCAACGCCGCGGGAGACUCUGGCUCUCUCCGACAUUGACGACCACAGAGACCUGCGGUACCUGCAGCCCGCCGUCGAGUUCUUCCGUAUCGUAGAUGGCCACGGACGGCCUACCAAGGCAGUUUUCAGGGCUGCCCUGGCGGAGGCGCUGGUGCACUACUACCCGCUUGCAGGCCGUCUCCGGGAGGCUCCCGGGGGCAGGCUAGUCGUGGAGUGCACCGGGGAAGGCGUGGUGUUCGUGGAGGCGGAGGCGGCUGUGUCCUUGGAUGAGCUCGGCGAGCCGCCGCUGCCAGCAUGCACGUUCGUGGAACAACUGCUGUGCGACGUGGGCGACGCUAGGGUUGUCAUCGGAGUUCCCUUGUUCUUCAUGCAGGUAACCCAACUCAGAUGCGGGGGAUUUGUGAUUGGUCUUCACAUAUGCCACAAUAUCGCGGACGGCUACGGCAGCACCCAAUUCCUGAAAUGUGUCGCUGACUUGGCAUGUACCGAGGGUGACGCCUCCCAAAUUGUAUCGCCGGUGUGGAAUAGGGAUCUCCUAACAGCACGCGUCCCUCCACACAUAAACCCGGCCUACGAGGAAUUCCUCCAACGAUUAGGCACCACCGCCGACGACAUCAUGUUGUCAACACCGCCGGAGGAAAUGGCCGGCCGCUUCUUCCUCUUUGGCCCAGGGGACAUGGCAUCGCUACGAAGGCAUGCCCCGGUGCACCUUACACCGCCAGUCACCAGCUUCGAGCUUCUGACUGCGGUCAUGUGGCGUUGCCGCACAGUGGCGCUCGGCUACGAGCACCACCAGCGGGUGCGCCUGAUGUUUUCUCUAAAUGCGCGUGGGAGGUGGAAGCGUCAUGCGCUCGUCCCACGUGGGUUCUACGGAAAUGCGCUCUUCUACCCUGCGGUAGACACGACCGCCGAGGAACUAUGCUUCAACCCGCUUGGCUAUGCGCUCAAACUCGUCCGCGAGGCCAAGCGUGACAUGACAGACGACAACAUGGAGUCCAUGGUGGAUUUCAUGGCGUCUAUGCGUGGGCGGCCACCUCUCACCAUGGACAGAAUGUAUGAGGUCUCUGACAUCAAGUGGGUUGGACAGGACGCGCUAGACUUUGGAUGGGCGAAGCGGGUUGACGGCGGCGUACCCAUGGUUGGGGACAUUGCCUGCAAGUCUGUGAGCUACCACAUGAGGUGCAAGAAUGGAAAGGGUCAUGACAUGAUCGCGGUAUCCAUGCUAUUGCCAGGACCUGCAAUGGACAAGUUCGAGAAGGAGAUUGAUGUUUGGGUGAACAACGAAAACUAG
Molecule: ribosomal RNA, 1341 nt
Filed under: Triticum aestivum (bread wheat)
Lineage: Eukaryota; Viridiplantae; Streptophyta; Magnoliopsida; Poales; Poaceae
Description: partial small subunit ribosomal RNA
Source: RNAcentral